This 4200-nucleotide long non-coding RNA is filed under the name Homo sapiens (human). RNAcentral describes it as "PCBP1 antisense RNA 1, transcript variant 83 (PCBP1-AS1)". Lineage: Eukaryota; Metazoa; Chordata; Mammalia; Primates; Hominidae. The record is from RNAcentral.
GUCCCCGGCGUCCGGGCGCCCUGCAUGGAUCCCCCACCCCAGCUCCUGCUCCCCGGCGGCGGCCGGUGGGCAGAAAGACCGAAACCCACUCACGGCCGCCUGCCGAAUCGCGGCUCUGCUGUUUGUGGGGCGUGCUAGAAACGUGGUCCUAAAAAGAAUGGCGUCCAUUUACAUAAUGCUUUGUUUGCGUUUCGCAAGUUUCUUUCGGUUAAAGCCACAGAAACCCCACCUCCUGCCCUUGUGUCGUUUCCACCGCGGCACCCUUUUCCGACAUUAGAAACAAUAGUGUACGCCUGUGGAGGCCUCGUUUGUUCAGGGGCUGCCGGCCAGGGCUUCAGGACGUUUCUGCGGCUUUCCCCGCGCGGCCUGGGCUCCCGCGGCUGCUUUUCGGGCCCAUGGGCGCAGCCACUGCGCCAGGCUCAAGGGGGGCGGCCCCGUCAGGGCCCGCCAUCUUGGAAGGCCUUUUUUGCCGGUUCUUCCCGCUGAGGAAGUGUCGCUCAAGACGCUGGCCUAUGAGUUGUGAUUUCUGCCUUUUCCCCUUCCUCCUUGGGCUAAGCCAGACCAGAAAGGGCCCCGUGCGCAACGUGCUUCACAAUCUCUCAGGGAAAGCGGCUAACGUGGCGCUACUCCGCCUCCCCUGUUCCUUACCCUUGGGGCGGCCGCCAUGUUUCCUGAACACAAAAUGGCGACACGUGGUUAGCAUUCGUCGCCAACGAGAAAUUGGGGUCGGCCCGAAAGCUCUAGAAUGCACCCCUCUUCCUCCCCGGGGCCUUCCACCUCCGCGAGUUUUAUGACUUAAAAAAGCCCACAGGCUGGUCUGAAGGUCGGAGGCCUAAUUUUAACGCGUUUUCCUCCCUUUAAUUUGAAACGGGAACGCGAAUGACUGUAAAAUGUGGGCACAAUAUUUAAUCUCUCGCCUUUUUAAAGCUUAAUAGUGGAUAAUAGGGGGGCAGUAUCAAGGGAUAAUUUGGGUCCCCACAGUACCAAAGCAUUUAGAAACCUCUGUUUAAUUUAAGGAAUGAGAUAAGUUACUGCUUUUCUAGACUUCCUAGCAUGGGCUGUUGUGCUGGAGAGAACGAGAGCUACGAAGAGACUACAGUGCCUCUGACUUUUUCAUAGGACAGUUGGCCGGUGAAUCUUAUUAAUAGUUUACCACAAUUAAGUGUUCAUUUUUAGUCUAGAAGGGACAGGCGUUUAUUGUGCAUUGGCCAGUGCCAGCACAUCCGAUGCAAGGCAGUUCACCGUAUUCUAUCUUUAAUUUUUACCAUGGUCCUCUGAGGUAGGUGUUCUUAUCUCUCUCUCUCUCUCUCUCUUUUAAACAGAGGAAGACAAACAUAAAGAUGAAGUGCUUAAUUCAAGGUCACACAAUGUCGGGGAUGGACCUCCAGAUUUCCUUACUGACCUGCAUUAUCUUGUGGAUACCUGAGUGAAUUCCACACCACCCAUUUUAUAGAUGAAACCACUGAGACAUGGAGCAAUUGACUGAGUAGUCACUGCCCCACCCCUGCCUGGAGCCUCACACAUGACUCGCCUCCUCUCAGUGACCACAGGUUGGUUGAGGGGUUUAACAAGGCUAAGAAGGUGAGACGUGGUCUUGUAACACAGUGGUUAAGAAUGUGACUUUGGAGCCAGCCUGCUAGGGGCUGAAUUCUGACUCAGCCAUUUACUAACUGUGUGACCUUAGGUAAGUCAUUUACCUUCUUUGUCCCUCAGUUUCAUCUCGGUUAAGUAGGGAUAAUGAUAGCACCUAUUUUAUAGGGUUAUUGUGAGGAAUAAAUCCAAGUAAAAUGCUUAGAAUAGUAACUGAAACAUAGCACUCAUUAGGAAUGCUUUAAUUUUCAUUUAUUUGAGUAUUAAAGGUUGAAUUUUCAGAGGUAUUUUGGACCUUUGUAUUUUUUCUUUAAAUCACUUAUUCAUGACUUUUGAACUUUUUUUUUUCUUUUAGAGACAGGGUCUUGGUUUGUUGUCUAGGCUGGAAUGCAGUGGUGCAAUCAUAGCUCACUGUAGCCUUGAACUCUUGGGCUCAAGAGAUCCUCCUGCCUCAGCCUCGUGAGUAGCUGGGCCUACAGGCGCCUGCUACCACACCUGGCUAAUUUUUUAUUUUUUGUAGAGAUGGGUUCUUGCAGCCCAGACUGGUCUUGAGCUUUGGCCUGAAGUGCUCCUCCUGCCUUGGCCUCUCAAAGCAUUGGGGUUACAGGUGUGAAGCACUGCACCUUGCCUACACAUUUUUUCCAAUAAUUUUUUUUAUUAAUUUGUAAGAGUUAACAUGUCGACUAUCAUAUAUAACAUAGAAUUGUUCCCAUUUUGUCAUUUCCUUUCAACUUUGUCUAUGUAGCUUUUUUUCUGUGUGCAAAUUUUACAUUUUUAGGUAGUCAGAAAAUCUCUUCCCUUGUAAUUUUUUCUGCUACUAGACCAAUGUUUAGAAAAAAGCGUGCUUCCCCACCUCAAAAUUAUAAAAAUAGUUACUUGUUCUUUUUGAGUACUGUGUGUGUUUAAAUCUUUAAUCUUUAAAUUUAAAUCUUUGAUCCAUCUGGUAUUUAUUUUGAUAUGAAGAGAGUGGUUGGGAUCUGGCUGUAUUUCUUUUUUCUUUUUUUUUCUUUUUUCUUUUUUUGACGAAGUCUCACUGUUGCUCAGGCUGGAGUGCAAUGGCAUGAUCUCGGCUCAUCACAACCUCUGCUUCCUGGGUUCAAGCGAUUCUCCUGCCUCAGCCUCCCGAGUACCUGGGACUACAGGCACUCGCCACCAUGCCCGGCUGAUUUUUGUAUUUUUAAUAGAGAUGGUUUCACUAUGUUGGCCAGGCUGGUCUCGAACUCCUGACCUUGUGAUCUGCCCACCUCAGCCUCGAAAAGUGCUGGGAUUACAGGCGUGAGCCACUGCGCCCAGCCUUGUAUUUUUUUUCAGUUUGGGUAGCUGUCCCUAAUUCAUUUGUUAAAGGAGAAGCAAGAGCAAGAACCUUUAAUCUGUUCUCCUCUUCCCUAAUUUGAAAGUAGCUUGUUAUUUUGAAUAUCACUUUCUCUGAAAUAGCACAUCUCCAUCUCAGAGAAUGGAUUUAAUGUUUGGAUACAGCCAAAAGUCAUUUCAUUACCAAACCAUGGGGUGAAUAUACCAUGUAAAGCAGUUUGGGAUCAGAACUCACAGUCUGAAUUGUAAGUGAUGAGACUGCUGUCUCUCUGCUACAGCUUCUUGGCUGGCUCUGAAGGCUCUUUGAAGGCAGAUCCUAACAAGGGGACUGCUUUGAAGGGCCAUUGUUCAUUUGGAAUGAUAAAGUCUAUGUUGUUCAAAAAACAAAUGCUUGUAGCAGGUAUUUUUUCACUCCAGACUGAGAAUAUUGGUGGGAUAUUGAUAAGGGGUACUGAAUGGUAAUAAACAUGUGCUCUAGCUCUGUGCUAGUCAGCUUAUUUCAGAACUCUAGUUUGAUUCAGUUUCUUGCCUCUGACUCAAAAUGGAGGGAGAGUGAUUUUUACAUAAGAGAACACACCCACAUAUCCUUUUGGCAGCAGCUACCUGCCAGAGAUGUUGAAGAAGAGUAGCCAACCUUUACACAGCAGAUAUUGUGUGCCAGUCAUAGUCCUAAGUAUAAUACCUUACAUGUAUAAACUUCUUAUAAGGUUGGUGCUCUGUACCGAAUUGAAUAGUAUCCCCCAAAAUUCAUGUUGUCCCAGAACCUAUGAAAGUGAUCUUACUUGAGGGAGGGGGGAGGGGGGAGGGAUAGCAUUAGGAGAUAUACCUAAUGCUAAAUGACGAGUUAAUGGGUGUAGCACACCAGCAUGGCACAUGUAUACAUAUGUAACUAACCUGCACAUUGUGCACAUGUACCCUAAAACUUAAAGUAUAAUAAUAAUAAAAUAAAAAAAAAAAAGAAAGUGAUCUUACUUGGAAAUAAGGUCUUUGCACAUAUGAUCAAGUUGAGAUGAAGUUGUACUGGAAAGUCUGUCUAGUGACUGGUGUUGUCAUAAGAAGAGAGGGACACAGAGGGAAGAUGGCCACAUGAAGAUGGAGGCAGAGAUUGCAGUUAUGCUGCUGCAAACUAAGGAAUGGCUCUGGCCCUCCAAGGAUUGCUGAUAACCACCAGAAACUAGAAGAGACAAGGAAGGAUUCUUCCCUAGAGCCUUCAGAGGGAGCAUGGCCCUACUGACACCUGGAUUUCAAACUUGUAGCUUCCUAAACUGCAAGAGAAUAAAUUUCUGUUGUUUUAAGCCA